RNAcentral lists this ribosomal RNA (253 nucleotides) under uncultured bacterium. Its description in RNAcentral is "partial 16S ribosomal RNA". It matches the Rfam family "Bacterial small subunit ribosomal RNA", at positions 524 to 776 of the family's 1533-position model. The record is from RNAcentral.
UACGGAGGAUCCAAGCGUUAUCCGGAUUUAUUGGGUUUAAAGGGUGCGUAGGCGGUUGAUUAAGUCAGUGGUGAAAGUUUGGAGCUUAACUCUAAAAUUGCCAUUGAAACUGGUCGACUUGAGUACGGUAGAGGUAGGCGGAAUGCGUGGUGUAGCGGUGAAAUGCAUAGAUAUCACGCAGAACCCCGAUUGCGAAGGCAGCUUACUGGACCGUUACUGACGCUGAGGCACGAAAGCGUGGGGAUCAAACAGG